RNAcentral lists this transfer RNA (69 nucleotides) under Echeneibothrium williamsi. RNAcentral describes it as "tRNA-Glu". The record is from RNAcentral. Lineage: Eukaryota; Metazoa; Platyhelminthes; Cestoda; Rhinebothriidea; Echeneibothriidae.
AUUGCUUUAUUAUAUUGUUGUAUUAUACUGACUUUUCGUGUCAGAAAAGGUGUUUAUCACCAAGCAGUU